GGAGCGUUCUGUAAGCCUGCGAAGGUGUGCUGUGAGGCAUGCUGGAGGUAUCAGAAGUGCGAAUGCUGACAUAAGUAACGAUAAAGCGGGUGAAAAGCCCGCUCGCCGGAAGACCAAGGGUUCCUGUCCAACGUUAAUCGGGGCAGGGUGAGUCGACCCCUAAGGCGAGGCCGAAAGGCGUAGUCGAUGGGAAACAGGUUAAUAUUCCUGUACUUGGUGUUACUGCGAAGGGGGGACGGAGAAGGCUAUGUUGGCCGGGCGACGGUUGUCCCGGUUUAAGCGUGUAGGCUGGUUUUCCAGGCAAAUCCGGAAAAUCAAGGCUGAGGCGUGAUGACGAGG
This 339-nucleotide ribosomal RNA is filed under the name Shigella sonnei. RNAcentral describes it as "partial 23S ribosomal RNA". It matches the Rfam family "Bacterial large subunit ribosomal RNA", at positions 1233 to 1574 of the family's 2925-position model. Lineage: Bacteria; Pseudomonadati; Pseudomonadota; Gammaproteobacteria; Enterobacterales; Enterobacteriaceae. The record is from RNAcentral.